CAGCCGCCGCGGGAAUACGAAGGGGGCUAGCGUUGUUCGGAUUUACUGGGCGUAAAGCGCACGUAGGCGGACUUUUAAGUCAGGGGUGAAAUCCCGGGGCUCAACCCCGGAACUGCCUUUGAUACUGGGAGUCUUGAGUUCGAGAGAGGUGAGUGGAAUUGCGAGUGUAGAGGUGAGAUUCGUAGAUAUUCGCAGGAACACCAGUGGCGAAGGCGGCUCACUGGCUCGAUACUGACGCUGAGGUGCGAAAGCGUGGGGAGCAAACAGGAUUAGAGACCCCCGUAGUCCCUGUCUCUUAUAC
RNAcentral lists this ribosomal RNA (301 nucleotides) under uncultured bacterium. RNAcentral describes it as "partial 16S ribosomal RNA". It matches the Rfam family "Bacterial small subunit ribosomal RNA", at positions 509 to 807 of the family's 1533-position model. The record is from RNAcentral.